RNAcentral lists this ribosomal RNA (501 nucleotides) under uncultured bacterium. RNAcentral's name for it is "bacterial SSU rRNA". It matches the Rfam family "Bacterial small subunit ribosomal RNA", at positions 8 to 507 of the family's 1533-position model. The record is from RNAcentral.
AGAGUUUGAUCAUGGCUCAGAAUAAACGCUGGCGGCGUGCCUAACACAUGCAAGUCGAGCGAGAAAGUUCCUUCGGGAGCAAGUAAAGCGGCGGACGGGUGAGUAACGCGUGAGAAUUUACCCUUUAGUGAGGAAUACCUCUGAGAAAUCAGGGCUAAUACUGCAUAAGUCCCUACGGGGAGAAAGGUGGCCUAUUUGCUGCCGCUAAAGGAUAAGCUUGCGGGCUAUUAGCUAGUUGGUGAGGUAAAGGCUCACCAAGGCGAUGAUGGCUAGCCGGCCUGAGAGGGUGUACGGCCACACUGGAACUUAGACACGGUCCAGACUCCUACGGGAGGCAGCAGUGAGGAAUAUUGCGCAAUGGGCGAAAGCCUGACGCAGCGACGCCGCGUGGAGGAUGAAGGUCUUCGGAUUGUAAACUUCUGUUAAGUGGGAAGGAAGAUUUAUCCCUAAUAUGGAUAAAGGAUGACGGUACCAUUAGAGAAAGCACCGGCUAACUUCGUG